CUUUCCCCCUACCGUUUGUGAUUGUUGGCGCGGCAGUGAGCUGUGGACUUCUGUAAGGAAAAAGUCAGAGCCCGGCCUCGGGGGAGAGCUCUGCAGACUCGGACCAGCACCACCGGGUAACUGGGUUCCGGGAAGAGAAUCACUCUGAAUUUUCUAGAGUUUGAACCCUUCAGAUAGAAGAAGCCCAAGGAAGACUGAUCGGUUCUUACAUUUCUGAUAACAUGGCCCAAUUUCAGGAGUCAGUGACAUUCAGGGAUGUGGCCAUAGCCUUCGCUCAGCAGGAGUGGGAGAGUCUGGAUUCUGCUCAGAGGGUCUUGGACAGAGAUGUGAUGUUGGAGAACUAUAGGAACUUGGUCUCCCUGGGUCAUUCCUGUUCUAAACCACAUGUGAUUACCUUAUUGGAACAAUGGAAAGAGCCCUGGAUGAUAGUGAAGAAAGAUCAAGGAAGACAAUACACAGUGCAUUCUCUUGCUCCUGGACCACUUGCUUUAUUUGAGAGUAUCCAUCAUGAUCAUUCCUAUGGAGACCCACGUGGCAAGGAACUGAAGCUUCCUGUCAACAGAAAAGACCUUGGAAUUGAAUCUUGCAGCCUCAGGCAAGUCUUCAGAGACUACAACCCCAGUAGACAGCUUGCCUGCAGUUUCAUAGCAGAUAUUGAACUCUAACUGCUCCCAGAUUAAUGUAAUUUUUCUGAAAAAAAUGUAAACAAAUAUGUAGUGACAGACAGCAGAUCAGUGGUUUCCUGCAGAUGGAUGAGUACAGAGGGAGAGAUUACAAAGGGCCCAAGAAAAACCUUUAAUUUCAUAGGUAUAAACAUGUAUCAAAUUGUACAUGUUAAAUAUGUGUAGUUUAGACUUGAGUAAGGCUGGGUUUUUUUAAGCUAAGAGAUACUCAAAACUCAUCAUUCAUUAUUUUACUACGUUUUACUAUUAUCUAUGCUUUAAGGUUAUUUAUAUUUAAUGUAUCCAUGUAUGGUAGAAACAGAAUAUGAUGGUGUGCUACUACACAUCUUGCCCUAAUUUCACAUUCACAGACAUCAUGUUGUAGCUUGAAAUUGACUGUGUGGUAAACACUACAACUCAGAGCUUGAUUUAUUGUUUCAUGUGAAGUUUUCAGAAAGUAGAGAGUAUGUUAAUAAUUCAGAUUAAACUUAAGGGUGUAUUGUGUCUGUCAUUUUCCAUUGGGAACAGCACAGAAUUGCAAGGAAAUAUUCUUUCAGUACUCAAAAAAUUUUACCCAAAAAAAAAAAAAAAAAAU
Long non-coding RNA from Balaenoptera ricei (Rice's whale), 1257 nucleotides. RefSeq lists it as uncharacterized. The transcript is spliced from 5 exons. Lineage: Eukaryota; Metazoa; Chordata; Mammalia; Artiodactyla; Balaenopteridae. The record is from RefSeq and is a predicted model, not a curated record.